Molecule: ribosomal RNA, 497 nt
Filed under: uncultured bacterium
Lineage: Bacteria
Description: partial 16S ribosomal RNA
Rfam family: Bacterial small subunit ribosomal RNA
Source: RNAcentral
AUUGAACGCUGGCGGCAUGCUUUACACAUGCAAGUCGAACGCGAAAGGGGGCAACCCUGAAUAGAGUGGCGCACGGGUGAGUAAUGCAUCGGAACGCGUCCUGUAGCGGGGGAUAACCUAGCGAAAGCUAGGCUAAUACCGCAUACGCCCUGAGGGGGAAAGUGGGGGAUCGCAAGACCUCACACUAUAGGAGCGGCCGAUGCCGGAUUAGCUAGUUGGUGGGGUAAAAGCUCACCAAGGCGACGAUCCGUAGCUGGUCUGAGAGGAUGAUCAGCCACACUGGGACGGAGACACGGCCCAGACUCCUACGGGAGGCAGCAGUGGGGAAUUUUGGACAAUGGGCGCAAGCCUGAUCCAGCAAUGCCGCGUGCAGGAAGAAGGCCUUCGGGUUGUAAACUGCUUUUGUACGGAACGAAAAGGUCUGGGUUAAUACCCUGGGCACAUGACGGUACCGUAAGAAUAAGCACCGGCUAACUACGUGCCAGCCGCCGCCGUAA